This 72-nucleotide transfer RNA is filed under the name Lachnospiraceae bacterium. Its description in RNAcentral is "tRNA-Glu". It matches the Rfam family "tRNA". Rfam says of the family: Transfer RNA (tRNA) molecules are approximately 80 nucleotides in length. Their secondary structure includes four short double-helical elements and three loops (D, anti-codon, and T loops). The record is from RNAcentral. Lineage: Bacteria; Bacillati; Bacillota; Clostridia; Lachnospirales; Lachnospiraceae.
GACUCCUUCGUCUAACGGUCAGGACAUCAGCUUUUCACGCUGAAAAUGCGGGUUCGAUUCCCGCAGGAGUUG